This 421-nucleotide ribosomal RNA is filed under the name uncultured bacterium. RNAcentral describes it as "bacterial SSU rRNA". It matches the Rfam family "Bacterial small subunit ribosomal RNA", at positions 358 to 771 of the family's 1533-position model. The record is from RNAcentral.
GGAAUAUUGGACAAUGGGCGCAAGCCUGAUCCAGCAACGCCGCGUGGAGGAAGAAGGUCUUCGGAUCGUAAACUCCUGUCAGGUGGGAAGAAAGACCGCCGGCAAAUAGUCGACGGUUCUGACUGUACCAUCAGAGGAAGCCCCGGCUAACUCCGUGCCAGCAGCCGCGGUAAUACGGAGGGGGCGAGCGUGAUUCGGAAUUAUUGGGCGUAAAGGGCGCGUAGGCGGCGAGGCAAGUCAAAGGUGAAAUCCCUCGGCUCAACCGAGGAACCGCCUUUGAAGCUACCUCGCUCGAGGCCGGGAGGGGGUAGCGGAAUUCCCAGUGUAGCGGUGAAAUGCGUAGAUACUGGGAGGAACACCGGUGGCGAAGGCGGCUACCUGGACCGGUUCCGACGCUGAUGCGCGAAAGCGUGGGGAGCAA